GUCCACGCCCUAAACGAUGUCGACUGGUUGUUGGGGGUUUGACACUCUCAGUAACGAAGCUAACGCGUGAAGUCGACCGCCUGGGGAGUACGGCCGCAAGGUUAAAACUCAAAGGAAUUGACGGGGACCCGCACAAGCGGUGGAUUAUGUGGAUUAAUUCGAUGCAACGCGAAAAACCUUACCUACCCUUGACAUGUCCGAGAGCCCGCAGAGAUGUGGGUGUGCCCGAAAGGGAAUCGGAACACAGGUGCUGCAUGGCUGUCGU
Molecule: ribosomal RNA, 265 nt
Filed under: uncultured bacterium
Lineage: Bacteria
Description: partial 16S ribosomal RNA
Rfam family: Bacterial small subunit ribosomal RNA
Source: RNAcentral